CCAGACUCCUACGGGAGGCAGCAGUGAGGAAUAUUGGUCAAUGGGCGCAAGCCUGAACCAGCCAAGUAGCGUGCAGGACGACGGCCCUAUGGGUUGUAAACUGCUUUUGUACGGGGAUAAAACGGCGGACGCGUCCGUCCUUGCAGGUACCGUACGAAUAAGGACCGGCUAAUUCCGUGCCAGCAGCCGCGGUAAUACGGAAGGUCCGGGCGUUAUCCGGAUUUAUUGGGUUUAAAGGGAGCGUAGGCCGGGGAUUAAGUGUGUUGUGAAAUGUAGACGCUCAACGUCUGACUUGCAGCGCAUACUGGUUCCCUUGAGUACGCACAACGUCGGCGGAAUUCGUCGUGUAGCGGUGAAAUGCUUAGAUAUGACGAAGAACUCCGAUUGCGAAGGCAGCUGACGGGAGCGCAACUGACGCUUAAGCUCGAAGGUGCGGGUAUCGAACAGGAUUAGAUACCCUGGUAGUCCGCACGGUAAACGAUGGAUGCCCGCUGUUGGUACCUGGUAUCAGCGGCUAAGCGAAAGCAUUAAGCAUCCCACCUGGGGAGUACGCCGGCAACGGUGAAACUCAAAGGAAUUGACGGGGGCCCGCACAAG
RNAcentral lists this ribosomal RNA (597 nucleotides) under uncultured bacterium. Its description in RNAcentral is "bacterial SSU rRNA". It matches the Rfam family "Bacterial small subunit ribosomal RNA", at positions 331 to 929 of the family's 1533-position model. The record is from RNAcentral.